Molecule: ribosomal RNA, 301 nt
Filed under: uncultured bacterium
Lineage: Bacteria
Description: partial 16S ribosomal RNA
Rfam family: Bacterial small subunit ribosomal RNA
Source: RNAcentral
CAGUCGCCGCGGGAAUACGUAGGUGGCAAGCGUUGUCCGGAAUUAUUGGGCGUAAAGGGCUCGCAGGCGGUUUCUUAAGUCUGAUGUGAAAGCCCCCGGCCCAACCGGGGAGGGUCAUUGGAAACUGGGAAACUUGAGUGCAGAAGAGGAGAGCGGAAUUCCACGUGUAGCGGUGAAAUGCGUAGAGAUGUGGAGGAACACCAGUGGCGAAGGCGGCUCUCUGGUCUGUAACUGACGCUGAGGAGCGAAAGCGUGGGGAGCGAACAGGAUUAGAUACCCCUGUAGUCCCUGUCUCUUAUAC